This 301-nucleotide ribosomal RNA is filed under the name uncultured bacterium. Its description in RNAcentral is "partial 16S ribosomal RNA". It matches the Rfam family "Bacterial small subunit ribosomal RNA", at positions 509 to 807 of the family's 1533-position model. The record is from RNAcentral.
CAGUCGCCGCGGUAAUACGUAGGGUGCAAGCGUUAAUCGGAAUUACUGGGCGUAAAGCGUGCGCAGGCGGUUUUGUAAGACAGAGGUGAAAUCCCCGGGCUCAACCUGGGAACUGCCUUUGUGACUGCAAGGCUAGAGUACGGCAGAGGGGGAUGGAAUUCCGCGUGUAGCAGUGAAAUGCGUAGAUAUGCGGAGGAACACCGAUGGCGAAGGCAAUCCCCUGGGCCUGUACUGACGCUCAUGCACGAAAGCGUGUGGAGCAAACAGGAUUAGAUACCCCCGUAGUCCCUGUCUCUUAUAC